GUGCUUAACACAUGCAAGUCGAACGGAAAGGCCCUGCUUGCAGGGUACUCGAGUGGCGAACGGGUGAGUAACACGUGGGUGAUCUGCCCUGCACUUCGGGAUAAGCCUGGGAAACUGGGUCUAAUACCGGAUAGGACCAUCGUUUAGUGUCGGUGGUGGAAAGUUUUUCGGUGCAGGAUGAGCUCGCGGCCUAUCAGCUUGUUGGUGGGGUAAUGGCCUACCAAGGCGUCGACGGGUAGCCGGCCUGAGAGGGUGGACGGCCACAUUGGGACUGAGACACGGCCCAGACUCCUACGGGAGACAGCAGUGGGGAAUAUUGCACAAUGGGCGCAAGCCUGAUGCAGCGACGCCGCGUGGGGGAUGAAGGCCUUCGGGUUGUAAACUCCUUUCAACCAUGACGAAGCGUAAGUGACGGUAGUGGUAGAAGAAGCACCGGCUAACUACGUGCCAGCAGCCGCGGUAAUACGUAGGGUGCGAGCGUUGUCCGGAAUUACUGGGCGUAAAGAGCUCGUAGGUGGUUUGUCGCGUCGUCUGUGAAAUUCCGGGGCUUAACUCCGGGCGUGCAGGCGAUACGGGCAUAACUUGAGUGCUGUAGGGGAGACUGGAAUUCCUGGUGUAGCGGUGAAAUGCGCGGAUAUCAGGAGGAACACCGAUGGCGAAGGCAGGUCUCUGGGCAGUAACUGACGCUGAGGAGCGAAAGCAUGGGUAGCGAACAGGAUUAGAUACCCUGGUAGUCCAUGCCGUAAACGGUGGGCGCUAGGUGUGGGGGUCUUCCACGACUUCUGUGCCGUAGCUAACGCAUUAAGCGCCCCGCCUGGGGAGUACGGCCGCAAGGCUAAAACUCAAAUGAAUUGACGG
Molecule: ribosomal RNA, 858 nt
Filed under: uncultured Corynebacterium sp.
Lineage: Bacteria; Bacillati; Actinomycetota; Actinomycetes; Mycobacteriales; Corynebacteriaceae
Description: bacterial SSU rRNA
Rfam family: Bacterial small subunit ribosomal RNA
Source: RNAcentral